This 745-nucleotide ribosomal RNA is filed under the name Nocardiopsis trehalosi. Its description in RNAcentral is "bacterial SSU rRNA". It matches the Rfam family "Bacterial small subunit ribosomal RNA", at positions 721 to 1460 of the family's 1533-position model. Lineage: Bacteria; Bacillati; Actinomycetota; Actinomycetes; Streptosporangiales; Nocardiopsidaceae. The record is from RNAcentral.
GCGGGUCUCUGGGCCUUACCUGACGCUGAGGAGCGAAAGCAUGGGGAGCGAACAGGAUUAGAUACCCUGGUAGUCCAUGCCGUAAACGUUGGGCGCUAGGUGUGGGGACUUUCCACGGUUUCCGCGCCGUAGCUAACGCAUUAAGCGCCCCGCCUGGGGAGUACGGCCGCAAGGCUAAAACUCAAAGGAAUUGACGGGGGCCCGCACAAGCGGCGGAGCAUGUUGCUUAAUUCGACGCCACGCGAAGAACCUUACCAAGGUUUGACAUCACCCGUGGACUCGCAAAGAUGUGAGGUCAUUUAGUUGGCGGGUGACAGGUGGUGCAUGGCUGUCGUCAGCUCGUGUCGUGAGAUGUUGGGUUAAGUCCCGCAACGAGCGCAACCCUUGUUCCAUGUUGCCAGCACGUAAUGGUGGGGACUCAUGGGAGACUGCCGGGGUCAACUCGGAGGAAGGUGGGGAUGACGUCAAGUCAUCAUGCCCCUUAUGUCUUGGGCUGCAAACAUGCUACAAUGGCCGGUACAAUGGGCGUGCGAUACCGUAAGGUGGAGCGAAUCCCUAAAAGCCGGUCUCAGUUCGGAUUGGGGUCUGCAACUCGACCCCAUGAAGGUGGAGUCGCUAGUAAUCGCGGAUCAGCAACGCCGCGGUGAAUACGUUCCCGGGCCUUGUACACACCGCCCGUCACGUCAUGAAAGUCGGCAACACCCGAAACUUGCGGCCUAACCCCUUGUGGGAGGGAGUGAGUGAA